This 497-nucleotide ribosomal RNA is filed under the name uncultured bacterium. Its description in RNAcentral is "partial 16S ribosomal RNA". It matches the Rfam family "Bacterial small subunit ribosomal RNA", at positions 28 to 507 of the family's 1533-position model. The record is from RNAcentral.
GACGAACGCUGGCGGCGUGCCUAAUACAUGCAAGUAGAACGCUGAAGAGAGGAGCUUGCUCUUCUUGGAUGAGUUGCGAACGGGUGAGUAACGCGUAGGGAACCUGCCUUGUAGCGGGGGAUAACUAUUGGAAACGAUAGCUAAUACCGCAUAAAAAUGGAUGACACAUGUCAUUUAUUUGAAAGGGGCAAUUGCUCCACUACAAGAUGGACCUGCGUUGUAUUAGCUAGUAGGUGAGGUAAUGGCUCACCUAGGCGACGAUACAUAGCCGACCUGAGAGGGUGAUCGGCCACACUGGGACUGAGACACGGCCCAGACUCCUACGGGAGGCAGCAGUAGGGAAUCUUCGGCAAUGGGGGCAACCCUGACCGAGCAAAGCCGCGUGAGUGAAGAAGGUUUUCGGAUCGUAAAGCUCUGUUGUAAGUCAAGAACGGGUGUGAGAGUGGAAAGUUCACACUGUGACGGUAGCUUACCAGAAAGGGACGGCUAACUACGUG